RNAcentral lists this unclassified non-coding RNA (994 nucleotides) under Hevea brasiliensis (rubber tree). Lineage: Eukaryota; Viridiplantae; Streptophyta; Magnoliopsida; Malpighiales; Euphorbiaceae. The record is from RNAcentral.
CUAGAAAGUGGUGGCCUAUACAGACUUUUCACCCGGACCCAUGAAAGACGAGACGGGAGAGUGCUUCUUUUUCACGGCCAAUGGAUUUGGAGUUCACUUCGGGAAACGUAUUAGUCUUCAUUUUCCAAAAUUCCAUUCAAAGCACGCACUUUAAUAUCUCAAAAGGAAAAGAAAGAGAGUUUCAAAAUAGAUCCCAAUCUCUCUCUUUCAAGCAAUUCCUCAAACAACUUCACUGGCAUAUCAUCAUAACAUUGUAACAAUUUAUAUAUAUUUCAAGAGAGAGAACUCUGAGAGACAGACAGAGAGGAACCUGAAAAUAUGGCAACGUUGCAGAAGUUCAAGCUGUUCGCAACGCAAUGCGGCGUGGCGCAGAGUCCUACGCGAAGUCCGAGAACAAGUCCCGUUGUUCAUCUCCGUCGCAAGAAAACCACCCUCCGCAUGCUGCUCAGCCGAAGCUCAGGCUCUAGCCGCCUGUCACCUCCCCAAAAUGAGCCACCGCCGAUUCAUCGCCAACCGAGAAUCCUUGCACCGCUUCCAGAGAAAAAGAGAGACACUUUAAAGGACCUGUUCGUGUCGUCGCCGCCGCCAUUUGAGGAGGAAGAAAACAAAGGCAAGGUUAGAGAGGUGAUAGGAAGCAAGUGUGAAGUUUUCAAAAUGAGAGUGAACGGUUUGUUAGGGGAACCGGCCGGUUCGCCUAGACCGGGAUGGAUCGGUUUUAGACAUAGGUCUUUGAUAAGGAGAGCUUGGCGCCCUCUGCUGGUUGCUAUUCCAGAGGAGGCGGAAAAUGAAUUCGACCCACUUUCUGCUGUAGCAAAAUAAAAUUUCCUUGAAUCGAAGAUUGUGUUUUUUCUUUCUUUUUUAACCUUCUAUAUUUGCCAAUAUAAUAUUUCUAAUAAAUUUGCUUUGUUUGGUUGAAGGAAUCAAAAGGAAAUUUCUUUCACUUUUAUCAUUCUUGGCAUCGAUUCCUUUAUUUUCUAGCCAACCAAACACUUUU